UACAGAGGGUGCAAGCGUUGUUCGGAAUUACUGGGCGUAAAGCGUACGUAGGCGGCUUUGUAAGUUAGAGGUGAAAGCCCGGAGCUCAACUCCGGAAUUGCCUUUAAGACUGCAUCGCUAGAAUCGUGGAGAGGUGAGUGGAAUUCCGAGUGUAGAGGUGAAAUUCGUAGAUAUUCGGAAGAACACCAGUGGCGAAGGCGGCUCACUGGACACGUAUUGACGCUGAGGUACGAAAGCGUGGGGAGCAAACAGG
RNAcentral lists this ribosomal RNA (253 nucleotides) under uncultured bacterium. RNAcentral describes it as "partial 16S ribosomal RNA". It matches the Rfam family "Bacterial small subunit ribosomal RNA", at positions 524 to 776 of the family's 1533-position model. The record is from RNAcentral.